GGGUGCGGGGGCGAUCUGGCUGCAACAUCCGUACCCCACUGAUCGCCAGGGUUGGCUCGGCUGAUCUGGAUGGCUAGGUGGGUGUCCCCUUCCUCCCUCACUGCUCCACGUGCAGCCCUCCCAGAGCUGUGCGCUUCGUGGAAGAGGGUGACCUUCCCGCAGGAGGAGGACCGUUCUUCGUCAGGGGUAUAUGAGUUAGCUGCGUUCCCCUGCCGGAACCUCCAGCCAAGCUCUCAAGGUCCAUUUGUAGGAGAAUGUAUGGUAGACAAGCUUCUAAGACUCCAGACACGUCCACAUGAGGUGCUGCAUGUGGCAGUCUGCCUUUCUUU
RNAcentral lists this small nuclear RNA (329 nucleotides) under Ursus americanus (American black bear). RNAcentral's name for it is "7SK RNA (ENSUAMG00000025551.1)". It matches the Rfam family "7SK RNA". From Rfam's summary of the family: 7SK was discovered as an abundant small nuclear RNA in the mid-70s but a possible function has only recently been suggested. Two independent studies have found that 7SK RNA binds the CDK9/cyclin T complex (known as elongation factor P-TEFb). Lineage: Eukaryota; Metazoa; Chordata; Mammalia; Carnivora; Ursidae. The record is from Rfam by way of RNAcentral.